UCAUUUAAGUAAAAAGAAGUAAAAUCCUUCAGAAUUGAAUUAACUUUCUUUCCUGUGUUGCAGAAAGCCUGACUGUAUUUGGAAACCCCAGUAAAGAUCCUGGCAAUGUCUCCCACAUUUUUCCAAGUUCAGAUGCAAGCCUGCAGAGUCAGGUGUUGUAAUUUUGAAUUCCUUUCAGGGACUUGCCAUUCUGGUUAAAUACCAGGUGCAGCCCCGUUGUAUGUUACGCAGGGGUGUAAGAAUCCAGGACGGAGCUCUCUGUUCCUCACCAGCUGUCAGAGGGACGUGCCCUGUGUCAGUGACUGCCAGUAACAGCGAGUGAAUGCAUAAAUGUAGCCUUUCCUGUACGGAGAGCUAUUGGUUGGAAAGUGAUUGAUUCCUCUGUCCUGGUCUCUUGAGCAUUCAUUUGCAGCUGCUCUUUUCUGUUUCCUCGGUAUUUCCAGUCUGUAACUGUGGCUUUUCUACACAGACAAACCAUGGGGAUGGCUGGGGCCGAGCAGGUGAAGUUCCUGUAAAGUCUAAAGGGAAAGUGAAAGGGUUUCAUGAAGCUGAGAGCUACGUACCACAUGGUGCCUUGGGAACUCGGAGCUGAGUUGGCUGCUGCCAUGUCCUCUCACGGCUUAUGGUCAAGAUGGUGUACGGGUGUGCUUCUGUUAGGGAAUAACUAACCCCCUCCACUGGUUAUAGAAAGCAUAGAGUAGGCUGAUUAUAGAGCCUGGAGUAGAUAUCCAACUUUUAUGUAGCUGGAGUUGUGAGAUGAGUAACCAUAAACAUUACUAUUAUGGUAACAAA
This is a long non-coding RNA of Anas platyrhynchos (mallard), 792 nucleotides long. RefSeq lists it as uncharacterized. Lineage: Eukaryota; Metazoa; Chordata; Aves; Anseriformes; Anatidae. The record is from RefSeq and is a predicted model, not a curated record.